Molecule: ribosomal RNA, 153 nt
Filed under: uncultured bacterium
Lineage: Bacteria
Description: partial 16S ribosomal RNA
Rfam family: Bacterial small subunit ribosomal RNA
Source: RNAcentral
ACUCCUACGGGAGGCAGCAGUGGGUAAUUUUGGACAAUGGGGGCAACCCUGAUCCAGCAAUGCCGCGUGAGUGAAGAAGGCCUUCGGGUUGUAAAGCUCUUUUGUCAGGAAGAAAAUCUCUGGUUAAUACCUCGGCAAAUGACGUACUAAGAA